CAGAAAUGUAGUGUGUGUGUAGGUGGUGCCACGUCUGUGUGUAGGGGAUUUAGUGUGUGUGUGUGUGUGUGUGAGUGGUGCAGCAUGUUUGGGGGCUGCUGUGUGUGUGAGGGGUGUAGUGUGCAUUUGUGAGGAGUAUAGUGUGUGUGGGAAGGUGCUGUGUGUGUGUGGGGGGUGCAGUAUGUGUGUAUGAGUGUGCAGUAUGUGUGUCUGAGGGCACUGUGUGUGUGUCUAAGGGCGCUGUGUGUGUGGGCGCUAUGUGUUAGGGUGCUGUGUGUGUGUUAAGGUGCUGUGUGUGUGUUAGGGUUCUGUGAGUGAGGGUGCUGUGUGAGUGAGGGUGCUGUGUGAGUAUGUUAGGGUGCUGUGUGAGUGAGGGUGCUGUGUGAGUAUGUUAGGGUGCUGUGUGAGUGUUAGGGUGCUGUGAGAGUGUUAGGGUGCUGUGUGUGUGUUAGUGUGCUGUGAGUGUUAGGGUGCUGUGUGUGUAUGUUAGGGUGCUGUGUGAGUGUUAGGGUGCUGUGUGAGUAUGUUAGGGUGCUGUGUGUGUUAGGGUGCUGUGUGAGUGUUAGGGUGCUGUGUGAGUGUUAGGGUUCUGUGUGUUUGUUAGGGUGCUGUGUGAGUGUUAGGGGGCUGUGUGAGUGUUAGAGUGCUGUGUGUGUUAGGGUGCUGUGUGUGUUAGGGUGCUGUGUGAGUGUUAGGGUGCUGUGUGAGUAUGUUAGGGUGCUGUGUGUGUAUGUUAGGGUGCUGUGUGAGUGUUAGGGUGCUGUGUGAGUAUGUUAGGGUGCUGUGUGUGUGUUAGGGUGCUGUGUGAGUAUGUUAGGGUGCUGUGUGAGUAUGUUAGGGUGCUGUGUGAGUGUUAGGGUGCUGUGUGAGUUAGGGUGCAUUGUGAGUGUUAGGGUUCUGUGUGUUUGUUAGGGUGCUGUGUGUGUGUUAGGGUGCUGUGUGUGUGUUAGGGUGCUG
Molecule: non-coding RNA, 957 nt
Organism: Pelobates cultripes (western spadefoot toad)
Lineage: Eukaryota; Metazoa; Chordata; Amphibia; Anura; Pelobatidae
Source: the annotation of a GenBank genome assembly